Molecule: long non-coding RNA, 427 nt
Filed under: Homo sapiens (human)
Lineage: Eukaryota; Metazoa; Chordata; Mammalia; Primates; Hominidae
Description: HSALNT0249065
Source: RNAcentral
GGGAAUGAAGAAAUAGAUGGUGUCACCUCCUUUAAUUUCCUAGAAAGAGAAAACAAGGCACUGAUGCAGCCCGCGAUGAGCAGGAAUGGGAACCUGCAAUCUCCUGGAAUCUGCAACACAUUGCUGCUCUAUCAGAAGAAGAAAUGCAAGGAAGAAGUCAGACCUUUGAGUUUCAUCUAUGUUGCACGUACAUAGUUUUAAAAAGUGGUAUCAUGCUGUUUCUGUUAUUUCACACUCUAUGGAUUUUCACGUAACAAAUAUUUGAAGGCCAUUCAUGACAAAUAUAUAUAUAUCUCCAUAAACAUCAUGAUGUUGGGGGUGGCUGUGACAGAGACUGACCACUCGGUAACCAUGUUACUUUGGGGUUGAGAUGAGUAAGAAGUAUGUGUACCUUCUCUUCCUCUUUUUCUCCUGAUGAUGAUGAAGC